CCGCCAGGAAACUUUUUAGUUUAGGUCUUUUAAACCUAAAGCAAGUAGCUCCUCUACUCCAGGCG
RNAcentral lists this transfer RNA (65 nucleotides) under Engaeus lyelli. RNAcentral describes it as "tRNA-Lys". The record is from RNAcentral. Lineage: Eukaryota; Metazoa; Arthropoda; Malacostraca; Decapoda; Parastacidae.